UUGUAUAUAUAAUAUAUAUAUUAUGUAAAUAUAUAUAUAUUGAGAGAGAGAGAGACUUAGAAAAUAAAUAACCUGCAAUUAUCCCCCUUUUUUUUCCUUUAGCAAUCCAUCUCAGUUUCUUUACAGACCAGCUGGAGCUCUGCAAUGUCAUGCUGGAGGCCAUUUGUAUAAAUUUUGCAACAUUUAAUGGGAGCUCAUACAUGGAGAUCUUAUACAAGUUCGUGUUUUAUGCAAUGUUACCAUCUGAAAAUAUUUUUCCUAAUAUCAAAGUCUGAAACCUAAAAUCAGGUUUCUACCUGUGUCCAAGAAGGGCGAGACAUUUGAAGAAAGUUUCCAACAUGUCAAUGUGAAACUACAAUCAAUACACAGAAAAUUUCUGUCCUCGUGGAACAUAUGUUUCAGAAGAAUCAGAAGUAACAUCCUAUUGUAUUCAAGCCAUUGAUGUAGGAAGAGAACUUGGAGAAAGAAACAGUGACGGAGGAGGAAAAUCUAUAGAUUAUCAUGUGUGAUAGUGUACACAUAGUUACAUACAUAUUUGUGUUUCUGAGUAAUACAUGUAAGUAACUUUAAAAUAAAAUUCUAUGGAAGAAUUAAAGUUUGAAUGCAGCUGUCUCCUCCAUCAUUCUUUCAAAAUGCAAGAGCUCAAAAAUCAAUGAAAUAAACAGACAAAAAAUUGUGUUGUUUUGUUUCUGUUUUAUUGAUUAUGAUAGAUUGCCUCUGGUUUUAGUGACAAAGAUUUUGCUACCAUUUCUUUGGUUUUGGCAAACCCAAA
Molecule: long non-coding RNA, 772 nt
Organism: Callithrix jacchus (white-tufted-ear marmoset)
Lineage: Eukaryota; Metazoa; Chordata; Mammalia; Primates; Cebidae
Source: RefSeq, a predicted model, not a curated record